Molecule: non-coding RNA, 67 nt
Organism: Phrynosoma platyrhinos (Desert horned lizard)
Lineage: Eukaryota; Metazoa; Chordata; Lepidosauria; Squamata; Phrynosomatidae
Source: the annotation of a GenBank genome assembly
GCGUAGCAUAGUGCUUUGAGCAUUGGACUAGGAUUCUAGAGAACAGGGUUCAAAUCCCUGCUUGGCA